GCACAAUGGCCUUAGCGCUGUCCUCAGCCUGCUGCAGGUUGUGCUUGCCGACCACCACUCUGUAGGUCAGAUCCUCACUACAGACGGAGACAAGGGAUUUGGACCUACCUGAUGCAGUGAGCAGCGGUCAUGACCCAGUUAGAGGCGACGAGGGAUCCUCCACAGGUGAGUCUUGAGAGGAGAGACAAGCCUGUCAGUUUGGCUCUUACCUGCCAGGGCCAGCUGUGGGGUUUGGCAUCCACACCAUUGACCACGCGGGUCAGCUCAGG
Alosa sapidissima (American shad) is the source of this 269-nucleotide long non-coding RNA. RefSeq lists it as uncharacterized. Lineage: Eukaryota; Metazoa; Chordata; Actinopteri; Clupeiformes; Clupeidae. The record is from RefSeq and is a predicted model, not a curated record. The transcript is spliced from 3 exons.